RNAcentral lists this small nucleolar RNA (73 nucleotides) under Helobdella robusta. RNAcentral's name for it is "Small nucleolar RNA U54". It matches the Rfam family "Small nucleolar RNA U54". The record is from Rfam by way of RNAcentral. Lineage: Eukaryota; Metazoa; Annelida; Clitellata; Rhynchobdellida; Glossiphoniidae.
UGGUUAUGAGGAUAACAUAUCAAAUCAAUGAUCAAAAUGGUGAUUGUAUAUUAUACGCUAUUCUGAACCACGU